CUGCAGCCAAUUAAGCCGACCGUCCUCCUCCUCGUGGGGGCCGGUGUGCAAUGGCUGCAUACAGCAAGCCUCCUUGGUAGUGUAUGCAGCCUAUUGGUAUGUAUAGGCUGCCCUAAGGGACCUUGGAGACAACC
Small nucleolar RNA from Echinops telfairi (small Madagascar hedgehog), 134 nucleotides. Its record names the gene SNORA70. It matches the Rfam family "Small nucleolar RNA SNORA70". Rfam says of the family: snoRNA U70 seems to be exclusive to mammals and is a member of the H/ACA class of snoRNA which contain H (ANANNA) and ACA box motifs. The record is from Ensembl. NCBI's taxonomy places the organism in Eukaryota, Metazoa, Chordata, Mammalia, Afrosoricida, Tenrecidae.